Molecule: ribosomal RNA, 497 nt
Filed under: uncultured bacterium
Lineage: Bacteria
Description: partial 16S ribosomal RNA
Rfam family: Bacterial small subunit ribosomal RNA
Source: RNAcentral
GGCGAACGCUGGCGGCGUGCCUAAUACAUGCAAGUAGAACGCUGAAGAGAGGAGCUUGCUCUUCUUGGCUGAGUUGCGAACGGGUGAGUAACGCGUAGGUAACCUGCCUGGUAGCGGGGGAUAACUAUUGGAAACGAUAGCUAAUACCGCAUAAAAUGGAUUAUCGCAUGAUAAUCCAUUGAAAGGUGCAAAUGCAUCACUACCAGAUGGACCUGCGUUGUAUUAGCUAGUUGGUGGGGUAACGGCUCACCAAGGCGACGAUACAUAGCCGACCUGAGAGGGUGAUCGGCCACACUGGGACUGAGACACGGCCCAGACUCCUACGGGAGGCAGCAGUAGGGAAUCUUCGGCAAUGGACGGAAGUCUGACCGAGCAACGCCGCGUGAGUGAAGAAGGUUUUCGGAUCGUAAAGCUCUGUUGUAAGAGAAGAACGAGUGUGAGAGUGGAAAGUUCACACUGUGACGGUAUCUUACCAGAAAGGGACGGCUAACUACGUG